AUUUUCAGAAGAUAGAUUCCUGGUUUGUUUUUCUUUUAAUGAUCUAUAAACAUUGUAGUAAAAGAAAAUUUCACAUUAUUAUAGGGGACAGCUUAUUAAAUUACAAAUUUGCAUUAUUAACGGGACAAUUUUAAAGGGGAUUUUGAUAGGGAUUUUUUAAAGAGGAAAGAAAAUUUAGAAAUGUUCUUCCGUCUUUAAAAAUCACUAUCAAAGUUGUAAACCGAUAGCAUCUUAAAAUGGAAAAUCAGCCAGCUAACAGUUUAGUAAAUGUUUUCGAUUCUAUCUGAAUAGUUCAGGGUCUGUAUUGACACUCGUAUUUCCAGAAUUUUAAGGUAAAUCUAAGCAUGACCUCUCGAUUAUCUUCGCGGAAAUUGGCGGUGCUUCGUGAUGUAUUCUGGAAAAUAUCUGCCGAUUACUAUCUGAUAAAGUUAGAAAACGGAAUGAAACUAAGAUGGAAAAAUAAUAAUAAUUUGUGGAUGGCCUUUAUCAUACCGUUAGAGUUUCUGCCAACCGUGAACUGGAAAGACCAUCUUUUAUUCCAAGAAUCAGUAUCAUCCAAAUUUUUCGAUAACUUGGUCAUUACGAAUUAAAUUUCAUUCAUUUGGCCAUUUUAUUUGAUAAAGUAUUGAACAAAACAUUUAAUCGAAAUUUGGAGAGUAAUAUGAAGUUAAUAACGGAAAAGACAUUUACAAAAUUGAAAAAUAGGACAAACAUUAUCUUUUAAUUUUCUCUCCUUCAUGGACACGUCAAUCAAUUUCAGCGUUCAAUCGAUCAAAUUUGACAUAUCGUCGUUGCGCAUUCAAAACCAGACAAACAAAAAUAAGCAACUUUUCAGGAUAAGCAAAAAACUAGUUUUGUUCGUACGGAACGGUUAAUACAGUAAAAUAAGUACAUAGAAAAUUAACAAUUGUCAUCACAUUUCGACUAAAUAUGGGCUUUCUUUGAAUAUCUUUUUAUUUUAGCCAUAAAGAUAUUAAAUGUGAAAAAAUGCACAUAUCUGAUUCUUUUUAGUUCUAAAAUCCGGUAUAUGUAUAGACCGUUCAUAACUGUUUUUGUAGAAUAGCACGCUAAAUAAAUUUUGUGUAGUGUUUAAUGCA
RNAcentral lists this long non-coding RNA (1097 nucleotides) under Androctonus crassicauda. Lineage: Eukaryota; Metazoa; Arthropoda; Arachnida; Scorpiones; Buthidae. The record is from RNAcentral.